Molecule: ribosomal RNA, 495 nt
Filed under: uncultured bacterium
Lineage: Bacteria
Description: partial 16S ribosomal RNA
Rfam family: Bacterial small subunit ribosomal RNA
Source: RNAcentral
GACGAACGCUGGCGGCGUGCCUAAUACAUGCAAGUAGAACGCUGAAGGAGGAGCUUGCUUCUCUGGAUGAGUUGCGAACGGGUGAGUAACGCGUAGGUAACCUGCCUGGUAGCGGGGGAUAACUAUUGGAAACGAUAGCUAAUACCGCAUAAGAGUAGAUGUCGCAUGACAUUUGCUUAAAAGGUGCAAUUGCAUCACUACCAGAUGGACCUGCGUUGUAUUAGCUAGUUGGUGAGGUAACGGCUCACCAAGGCAACGAUACAUAGCCGACCUGAGAGGGUGAUCGGCCACACUGGGACUGAGACACGGCCCAGACUCCUACGGGAGGCAGCAGUAGGGAAUCUUCGGCAAUGGACGGAAGGCUGACCGAGCAACGCCGCGUGAGUGAAGAAGGUUUUCGGAUCGUAAAGAUCUGUUGUAAGAGAAGAACGAGUGUGAGAGUGGAAAGUUCACACUGUGACGGUAUCUUACCAGAAAGGGACGGCUAACUACGUG